CACUGCCAGGGACGGCGACUGCACCACCUCCCUGUGCAGCCACUGCAGUCAGCACGGCUUUCAGUGCUUAUCCCAGUGCCCUGCCGUGAUGCCAGCAAUCACUGUACUACUGAAAUACACCUAUGUAGCACCAAUCCUUUUCUGUUUGCAGUACUGCCGCCUUUAUGUCCUCUUCAAAAUAGAUUUUGGUUUAACUAUGUGAUAAAACUGAGAACUCAUGAUUCAUUGCCCAUCCAAUGUAAUCAAUCCUUUAAUUUCUGCUUUCCAGGACACAGCCAUUAGCCAGUAACCACAAACUGCUCUGUGGGACUCUCAUGGAAACAACAGCCCUCCUGGAUGACAAUUAUCCAUUGUUACAUACAGCAAGAGAUUUUAAACCAAAAGUUUAUGAAUUACUGCCCAGUGUUUAUCCAGCUCUUCAUGCACUACUGCCAAAUGCUUUAUAAAAAUCCCUUAUCCAUUUCUGAGGUGCCAAAAUUCCUUUUUUUCACACACUCUACCUUGGAGAUACAAAAUUUGAUCUUUUCACCACUCUACUGAUGGAGAAUUGAGACACACAUUUGAGGAGCAAACAAUAUAACAGUCAGAUUUUGAAGGUCUUUAAGUCACUGAAGAAACUAUGAAACAGACCAUGUUUAAUUACUGCAUUUGGAGAGAAGCACAGGGCAGAGUCCUUCUAUCUAGUGCACAGAGGGAGCUUGGAGAUGCUUAGGGCUGUAGGUUAAAGUGGCUAGAGGAACAUGCAUCAGGACCUUAAAGAGAGCCAGAAGCUUCCCUAAUCGUAAGCUACAGAAUCCAAUAUUGCUCAUUUGUCUUUGAAAAACCCAACACUAGACAAUACGUGAGUCUGAGCUGUUGAGAGAAAGCAAACUGAGAAGAUGUGAUAAGGUCUUUGAAUAACACCAGCAUAAGUGGAAUGCAGCAUAAAAUGAUGUAAUUGCAGUAUCAGAGUUUCGUGGGUGUUCAUUCAUGAAAUGCCAAGUGCAUCGCUGAAUUACAGGGACUCUAAUGGAGCUGAGGAGCGCUUCCCACCAAGGAGAUGGAUGCCAGGGUGGGGGUCAGUAUCACUUGAUCUGAAGUAGAAAAGCAUCUUCCUGCAAGACUUCAUUGCAGGCAUUUUCCAGACAGCUCAGGUAUUUUUAAAGAAAGACAUGACCAUAGCUCUGCCUAAAUCAAGCUUCUGUCCUUCAACACAGAAUUGACAACAUAACUUCAUGAAGUUGUGAUCUAUUAGAAAGGAGAUUUUAAAAGACCACAGUACUGCAAGGAAUAAAACAGGAUUUUGCCACAUUAUCCUAGAUCAGCAGAUGAGUCCAGUCGUCGUCUCUUGCAGUAUUUGAGAGCAACAAGACAAAUAGAGCUUUUUCCCAGAUGGAAGCUGAUAGAGAAACUGUGAUGCAGCUGAUAACCUUCAGCACACAUCCAGGUGAUCAGAACAGCAAGAAAGAUAAGGGAAAAUGCUUCGCUGUUCAGCCCAUGUCAAAGCCCCAACAUCUUUGGUCCACCUUGAACUGAAGGCAGACUCUGACGCUGGGCACAGUGCAGCCUCCUGUGGGAGGACAGCACCACUCAGUGAACCUUCGGGGGAUUCUGGCGUCCCACUCCUCCAUGCUGAGCAGCCUGGCUGCUCGCUCCGGAGCACUCCCUGUUUCUCAUCGGGGUUCUCUGCCGUCAUCUCUGAGGUCAGGAAGAAAGACCACGCCUCGCCUGCUCCUAAACAAAAGACUAUAGAUAGCUGUGGCAGCAAAUGCUUCUCAUUAUGUACUCCUCUCUCCUCAGACUGCCUGCCCAGUUGGGGGUGGGAGCAGCAUGGGGCCCUGAGAUGCCUGUGCUGCUCUGCUGUGUGUUUUCUGUUAUGUGGGGUGAGGAGUGCAUUCCUCACAGGCUUUGAAUGUCUGCAAAACCCCAGAGGAAUCCUCGGAGCAGUGGGAGGAGAGAUCGGGCACGGAGAAGUUACCCAUGCACAUCGGGAUAAGGCGUCCCCCUGCUGCAUCGGCCUGCAAAGGCAUCCAAACCUGAUGGAAGUGCAAGUGCUAGGGCAGCACGCCCUCUCAGCGUGCAUUUAAAAGCCUCACUCUUCCCACCAACACAGCUUGUUUGGCUAGGCUUAGUCUGGCAAAACAGAUCAAGCAGUGAUAAACCUGUCUGCUUGUGCACUUAGAGUCAGUGCAGGAUAGGUAAAGGAAUCAUUUCAGAUUAAGACUGAUUGUGAACCAAGAACAGAUAGAUAUAAACUGGCUAUUAUUGCAUUCAACAAGAAUUCUGCUAGCUAUUACAGCUAUCAGGCUUUAAAACAUCUUUUCAGAGUAAGAAAGACACAGGAGCAAAAAUUCCAGCGUCUGAUAAAAUUGAGUGAUUACGGGAUUUCAUACCUAUGGCAGCUUGAGUUUGGACGUGGAGGCCCAAGAAUUACUGGCACCACAUUCUUUUCCCGCAUCACAGAACUCCAAUAUAGAGCCUCUCCUCAUGGAGUAUGCAUGCAGGGCCUUGUACCAAGGACAGGAAACUAACCUCCCAGUCCCACUCCCUCUCAGCUUUAUGUGUCUGAUGCCUAGUUCAUGUUUCAGUGUCUCUGACAGAGCUUGCACAGAAGAUUGUUAUGGAUAUAGAAACAUGGAACUGGAAAAAUCUUCCUGGGACAGCUGGAUGCAGUGUUGAGUGGCCAUUCCCCAGCUUGCUGCCAAGCAUUUUUUUUUUCAUCAUCGUUCUCAGGAUGCUUGUAGAAUUGGGAACGUUGCAGGACCUGAAGUAUCAGCAGGAUGGGACAGCACAGCCCGUGAGCCUUAACUGCAGUGCAAUCCAAACAUCAUCUCCACACUGCAGAGAUGGGACAAUCAACAAAAUAAUGGGCAGUUCGCAAAAGAGAGCCCUGGAGGGAAGUCUUGAUAUCCCUGGAGAAAGUGCAUACAUCCAGAAUAUAAACAGAACUACUGACCUGCAUCCUGCCCUGUAACCACAUAUAUGAGCCACUCCAAAUCCGCCGGGAAUAGCCUAAAAGGCAGCUCUACUAAAGUGCACCUCUGAAAAAAGAAAUCUGUACUGCUACUGAUGAAAUGCUAGCAGUAGUAGCAGUAGUAGGUCGAGGAGUGAGCUGCAUGGAUCCCAGUUAGAAAUACGCAUGCUGACCGUUCUCUGCAGAAGUGACAUUUUGUGAUUCCAGCUGAUGCAAUGCACAACAUAAUACUGUGCAGACCACAAGAUACGUAGAGACAAUGAGCACAGAGGCAAGCAUAGUCCUGGUGACACCUUGCUACGGCCAGGCCAGCACGGCUCUUCUACAACUCGCAGUGCAAACCCUAAGGAGAAACAGCAGGAACAUCCACCUGCUCUGCAACAGGCCGUGCCCUGCCCGUUUCUCGGUCACACCGCAGGCUGCGAGCGCUCAC
Long non-coding RNA from Lagopus leucura (white-tailed ptarmigan), 3386 nucleotides. RefSeq lists it as uncharacterized. Lineage: Eukaryota; Metazoa; Chordata; Aves; Galliformes; Phasianidae. The record is from RefSeq and is a predicted model, not a curated record. The transcript has 4 exons.